This 465-nucleotide long non-coding RNA is filed under the name Gallus gallus (chicken). Its description in RNAcentral is "lncRNA (ENSGALG00010011514.1)". The record is from RNAcentral. Lineage: Eukaryota; Metazoa; Chordata; Aves; Galliformes; Phasianidae.
CAAAUUUAAAACCUUUUUCCACUUCCUCCUUGGAUGGGUGUUCUGUGCAUAAGUGCUCUACAGAUUCAGGCAUCUGGGGAUUUUGCAGACACUAUCUACCCUCAGCUCAAACCCAUCUGCUACCCAAGAGAGCAUGUUGUUACAGCCUGCUGAACCAACAGCCCAACAGAGCCUCCAUUUACAUACUGAAAGACCACUAUCGGGUCUCUCCAGAGCCUUCUCUUCUCCGGGCUGAGCAGCCCCAGCUCUCUCAGGUUCCUCCCCAUGCCAUGCCAUUGUGCCUGUGGGCUGAGCGAUGCUCCCUCACCACCAUGGGAAGACACUGCACGGUUUGCCUGCCACUGCCCAGUCCAUCACUGACUCGUGCUUGCCACCACUUACCCCUGGAAGGAAAUGAAAUGUGACUGUGUUUAAGGCCUUUGGCAGGAGAAUUCUACAUAAACAUUUAUCAGCAGCCAUAUGGAG